AUUGAACGCUGGCGGCAUGCCUUACACAUGCAGGUCGAACGGUAACGGGCCUUCGGGUGCCGACGAGUGGCGAGCGGGUGAGUAAUACAUCGGAACGUGCCCGAUCGUGGGGGAUAACGAGGCGAAAGCUUUGCUAAUACCGCAUACGAUCUACGGAUGAAAGCAGGGGACCGCAAGGCCUUGCGCGGACGGAGCGGCCGAUGGCAGAUUAGGUAGUUGGUGGGAUAAAAGCUUACCAAGCCGACGAUCUGUAGCUGGUCUGAGAGGAUGAUCAGCCACACUGGGACUGAGACACGGCCCAGACUCCUACGGGAGGCAGCAGUGGGGAAUUUUGGACAAUGGGCGCAAGCCUGAUCCAGCCAUGCCGCGUGCAGGAUGAAGGCCUUCGGGUUGUAAACUGCUUUUGUACGGAACGAAAAGCCUUCUUUUAAUACAGGAGGGUCAUGACGGUACCGUAAGAAUAAGCACCGGCUAACUACGUG
This 482-nucleotide ribosomal RNA is filed under the name uncultured bacterium. Its description in RNAcentral is "partial 16S ribosomal RNA". It matches the Rfam family "Bacterial small subunit ribosomal RNA", at positions 30 to 507 of the family's 1533-position model. The record is from RNAcentral.